AAUGAACGCUGGCGGCAGGCCUAACACAUGCAAGUCGAACGGAUCCUUCGGGAUUAGUGGCGGACGGGUGAGUAACGCGUGGGAACAUACCCAAAGGUACGGAAUAGCCUCGGGAAACUGGGAGUAAUACCGUAUGUGCUCGAAAGAGGAAAGAUUUAUCGCCUUAGGAUUGGCCCGCGUUGGAUUGGGUAGUGGGUGGGGUAAUGGCCUACCAAGCCGACGAUCCAUAGCUGGUUUGAGAGGAUGAUCAGCCACACUGGGACUGAGACACGGCCCAGACUCCUACGGGAGGCAGCAGUGGGGAAUCUUAGACAAUGGGGGAAACCCUGAUCUAGCCAUGCCGCGUGAUCGAUGAAGGCCUUAGGGUUGUAAGGAUCUUUCAGGUGGGAAGAUAAUGACUGUACCACCAGAAGAAGCCCCGGCUAACUCCGUGCCAGCCGCCGCCGUAA
RNAcentral lists this ribosomal RNA (449 nucleotides) under uncultured bacterium. RNAcentral's name for it is "partial 16S ribosomal RNA". It matches the Rfam family "Bacterial small subunit ribosomal RNA", at positions 29 to 523 of the family's 1533-position model. The record is from RNAcentral.